AUUGAACGCUGGCGGAAUGCUUUACACAUGCAAGUCGAACGGUAGAGGGGGCAACCCCUUGAGAGUGGCGAACGGGUGAGUAAUGUAUCGGAACGUGCCCAGUCGUGGGGGAUAACGUAGUGAAAAUUACGCUAAUACCGCAUACGAUCUAUGGAUGAAAGCGGGGGAUCGCAAGACCUCGCGCGAUUGGAGCGGCCGAUAUCAGAUUAGGUAGUUGGUGGGGUAAAGGCUCACCAAGCCAACGAUCUGUAGCUGGUCUGAGAGGACGACCAGCCACACUGGAACUGAGACACGGUCCAGACUCCUACGGGAGGCAGCAGUGGGGAAUUUUGGACAAUGGACGCAAGUCUGAUCCAGCCAUUCCGCGUGCAGGACGAAGGCCUUCGGGUUGUAAACUGCUUUUGUACGGAACGAAAAAGCUCUUAUUAAUACUAGGAGUCCAUGACGGUACCGUAAGAAUAAGCACCGGCUAACUACGUGCCAGCAGCCGCGGUAAUACGUAGGGUGCAAGCGUUAAUCGGAAUUACUGGGCGUAAAGCGUGCGCAGGCGGUUACAUAAGACAGAUGUGAAAUCCCCGAGCUUAACUUGGGAACUGCAUUUGUGACUGUAUAGCUAGAGUACGGCAGAGGGGGAUGGAAUUCCGCGUGUAGCAGUGAAAUGCGUAGAUAUGCGGAGGAACACCGAUGGCGAAGGCA
RNAcentral lists this ribosomal RNA (696 nucleotides) under Pseudomonadota bacterium. Its description in RNAcentral is "bacterial SSU rRNA". It matches the Rfam family "Bacterial small subunit ribosomal RNA", at positions 28 to 723 of the family's 1533-position model. Lineage: Bacteria; Pseudomonadati; Pseudomonadota. The record is from RNAcentral.